Ornithodoros turicata is the source of this 593-nucleotide long non-coding RNA. RefSeq lists it as uncharacterized. The record is from RefSeq and is a predicted model, not a curated record. NCBI's taxonomy places the organism in Eukaryota, Metazoa, Arthropoda, Arachnida, Ixodida, Argasidae. The transcript is spliced from 2 exons.
GCAGCAGCGACAUGCGAAAAAUAACAGCUGGUGAGGGGUGAGAGAGGUUCAAUGUCAAGUUCACCGUCAAGUUGGUCAACUCAAGUGGUCAAGUCAUCACCAAGUGGGCCUCGCGUGAACGCGUAUACGUUCGUUCAACCAACCUUCUGUAGCUACGGACGUUUAUCGUGUGUAAAUGAGCCAGGCAGGACAUCAACCGGGCUCUGGUACCGGAAAGGGAGGUGGCAGUGGAGGAUCCAUCCGAGAAGCCGGCGGAGGCCUCGGGAGAAUGGGAGCCGCAAAAGAGGAACAACAUUUCAGGAACGUUCAACAGCAACAGCUCGACGCCAUCAGGAAAGGCCAAGAGGAAGCAAAGACGAAAGAUACACAAAAAUCUGGGACAUAGUGCGAAUAGCUCCAAAGGAAGUUUAUUCGUUAGCCGGUUGCACAGCAUGAACAUGUGGAACGUUCCGCAGAGAUUCACGGCGAGAAUGUAACCUUAUGUGGUCACCUCGAAAUAUCGCGCAUCAUUGAGAUGUUUAACAAGUGAUUGAGACUUAGUGACUGAAGUAGUUUAAUAAACGUGGUGCGUGAUAUACGUACCCCAAAGAGUU